UAAAAACAUAGUAUAAUAUAAUACAUUUCACUUACACUGAAAAUAUACUUAGGCAUAAGUUGUUUUUAA
RNAcentral lists this transfer RNA (69 nucleotides) under Drupina grossularia. RNAcentral describes it as "tRNA-Val". The record is from RNAcentral. Lineage: Eukaryota; Metazoa; Mollusca; Gastropoda; Neogastropoda; Muricidae.